This 614-nucleotide long non-coding RNA is filed under the name Equus asinus (donkey). RNAcentral's name for it is "lncRNA (ENSEASG00005028417.1)". Lineage: Eukaryota; Metazoa; Chordata; Mammalia; Perissodactyla; Equidae. The record is from RNAcentral.
AAAAAGAGUAGAUCUUUAAAGAGAAAACCCAGGGCUGGACUGCCAAAUAGGUGACAGAAAAGUGAUCCAAUUCUACCCCAUAGGGACUUAGGUCACACUCCUUCAUCUGGAGCCCAUAUAGAGCCUCAAAAUCCUUCUCUACCCACUCCUUUGGGCAACUUCUGCAAAACGCUCUGAAUCAGCCCCUGAGCUGAACCUUCUUUGCCAUCCCUGAAGAUGAGGAAAUGGAGGCCUACAGAACUCAGGCGUGGUGUUGCCUGGAGGGACACCUCAUAAGUGACAGCUCCGGGAAUCAGGUCCAGGUUUAUCUGAUGCUGAAGGCUGCUCCUCGAUAGCCAUCGUCUUGGACACUGUGAUGAUGUUCACAAAGAUUGGGAAGCUUUUCCUGCAAAUCUUCACCCGGAUCUGGGAAAAUUCUGCUCUCUGCCUGAGGGAUGCAGAUGAGGACAGUCUUGCUCCUUUGUGUGGCUUUGGAGGGUGUACAGGAUACAGAGAGAACGUGACUUGAAGAAAUGACACUGUCUGUGAGUCCAGUUUAUUUGUGGACUCCUGAGGCUUGAGUAUAACCAGAGUAAAAUAAACGUAUAUAUGGAAACUGUAUCUGUGAAUUGCAU